AGAUUGAACGCUGGCGGCAUGCCUUACACAUGCAAGUCGAACGGCAGCACGGGAGCAAUCCUGGUGGCGAGUGGCGAACGGGUGAGUAAUACAUCGGAACGUGCCCAAUCGUGGGGGAUAACGCAGCGAAAGCUGUGCUAAUACCGCAUAAGAUCUACGGAUGAAAGCAGGGGAUCGCAAGACCUUGCGCGAAUGGAGCGGCCGAUGGCAGAUUAGGUAGUUGGUGAGGUAAAGGCUCACCAAGCCUUCGAUCUGUAGCUGGUCUGAGAGGACGACCAGCCACACUGGGACUGAGACACGGCCCAGACUCCUACGGGAGCAGCAGUGGGAAUUUGGACAAGUGGGACGAAAGCCUGAUCCAGCCAUGCCGCGUGCAGGAUGAAGGCCUUCGGUUGUAACGUGCGUUUUGUAACGGUAACGAAAGUCUUACUUUAC
This 435-nucleotide ribosomal RNA is filed under the name uncultured soil bacterium. Its description in RNAcentral is "bacterial SSU rRNA". It matches the Rfam family "Bacterial small subunit ribosomal RNA", at positions 26 to 466 of the family's 1533-position model. The record is from RNAcentral.